UGGGGAAUAUUGGACAAUGGGCGCAAGCCUGAUCCAGCCAUGCCGCGUGAGUGAUGAAGGCCCUAGGGUUGUAAAGCUCUUUCACCGGUGAAGAUAAUGACGGUAACCGGAGAAGAAGCCCCGGCUAACUUCGUGCCAGCAGCCGCGGUAAUACGAAGGGGGCUAGCGUUGUUAGGAUUUACUGGGCGUAAAGCGCACGUAGGCGGACUAUUAAGUCAGGGGUGAAAUCCCGGGGCUCAACCCCGGAACUGCCUUUGAUACUGGUAGUCUUGAGUUCGAGAGAGGGGAGUGGAAUUCCGAGUGUAGAGGUGAAAUUCGUAGAUAUUCGGAGGAACACCAGUGGCGAAGGCGGCUCACUGGCUCGAUACUGACGCUGAGGUGCGAAAGCGUGGGGAGCAAACAGG
This 404-nucleotide ribosomal RNA is filed under the name Actinomycetes bacterium. Its description in RNAcentral is "Actinobacteria bacterium partial 16S ribosomal RNA". It matches the Rfam family "Bacterial small subunit ribosomal RNA", at positions 355 to 776 of the family's 1533-position model. The record is from RNAcentral. Lineage: Bacteria; Bacillati; Actinomycetota; Actinomycetes.